GACGAACGCUGGCGGCGUGCUUAACACAUGCAAGUCGAUCGGAAAGGCCCUGCUUUUGUGGGGUGCUCGAGUGGCGAACGGGUGAGUAACACGUGAGUAACCUGCCCUUGACUUUGGGAUAACUUCAGGAAACUGGGGCUAAUACCGGAUAGGAGCUCCUGCUGCAUGGUGGGGGUUGGAAAGUUUCGGCGGUUGGGGAUGGACUCGCGGCUUAUCAGCUUGUUGGUGGGGUAGUGGCUUACCAAGGCUUUGACGGGUAGCCGGCCUUAGAGGGUGACCGGCCACAUUGGGACUGAGAUACGGCCCAGACUCCUACGGGAGGCAGCAGUGGGGAAUAUUGCACAAUGGGCGGAAGCCUGAUGCAGCAACGCCGCGUGCGGGAUGACGGCCUUCGGGUUGUAAACCGCUUUCGCCUGUGACGAAGCGUGAGUGACGGUAAUGGGUAAAGAAGCACCGGCUAACUACGUG
This 468-nucleotide ribosomal RNA is filed under the name uncultured bacterium. RNAcentral describes it as "partial 16S ribosomal RNA". It matches the Rfam family "Bacterial small subunit ribosomal RNA", at positions 28 to 507 of the family's 1533-position model. The record is from RNAcentral.